CACGUAGGGGACGAGCGUUGUCCGGAUUUAUUGGGCGUAAAGAGCGUGUAGGCGGCCAUACAGGUCAGCUGUGAAAACUCGAGGCUCAACCUCGAGACGUCGGUUGAAACCGUAUGGCUAGAGUCCGGAAGAGGCGAGUGGAAUUCCUGGUGUAGCGGUGGAAUGCGCAGAUAUCAGGAGGAACACCAACGGCGAAGGCAGCUCGCUGGGACGGUACUGACACUAAGGCGCGAAAGCGUGGGGAGCGAACAGG
This 253-nucleotide ribosomal RNA is filed under the name uncultured bacterium. Its description in RNAcentral is "partial 16S ribosomal RNA". It matches the Rfam family "Bacterial small subunit ribosomal RNA", at positions 524 to 776 of the family's 1533-position model. The record is from RNAcentral.